ACGAACGCUGGCGGCAGGCCUAACACAUGCAAGUCGAGCGAGGACUUCGGUUCUAGCGGCGGACGGGUGAGUAACGCGUGGGAAUGUGCCCUUCUCUACGGAAUAGCCCUGGGAAACUGGGAGUAAUACCGUAUACGCCCUAUUGGGGAAAGAUUUAUCGGAGAAGGAUCAGCCCGCGUUGGAUUAGGUAGUUGGUGGGGUAAUGGCCUACCAAGCCGACGAUCCAUAGCUGGUUUGAGAGGAUGAUCAGCCACACUGGGACUGAGACACGGCCCAGACUCCUACGGGAGGCAGCAGUGGGGAAUCUUAGACAAUGGGGGCAACCCUGAUCUAGCCAUGCCGCGUGAGUGAUGAAGGCCUUAGGGUUGUAAAGCUCUUUAAGCUGGGAAGAUAAUGACGGUACCAGCAGAAGAAGCCCCGGCUAACUCCGUG
RNAcentral lists this ribosomal RNA (432 nucleotides) under uncultured bacterium. RNAcentral's name for it is "partial 16S ribosomal RNA". It matches the Rfam family "Bacterial small subunit ribosomal RNA", at positions 29 to 507 of the family's 1533-position model. The record is from RNAcentral.